GAGUUUGAUCAUGGCUCAGGACGAACGCUGGCGGCGUGCUUAACACAUGCAAGUCGAGCGAAGCAGGGAAACAGAUUUCUUCGGAUUGAAGUUUCUCUGACUGAGCGGCGGACGGGUGAGUAACGCGUGGGCAACCUGCCCCAUACCGGGGGAUAACAGCUGGAAACGGCUGCUAAUACCGCAUAAGCGCACAGUGCCGCAUGGCACGGUGUGAAAAACUCCGGUGGUAUGGGAUGGGCCCGCGUUGGAUUAGCCAGUUGGCAGGGUAACGGCCUACCAAAGCGACGAUCCAUA
RNAcentral lists this ribosomal RNA (294 nucleotides) under uncultured bacterium. RNAcentral's name for it is "partial 16S ribosomal RNA". It matches the Rfam family "Bacterial small subunit ribosomal RNA", at positions 9 to 285 of the family's 1533-position model. The record is from RNAcentral.